GGAUUGCCUUAGUAACGGCGAGUGAAGCGGCAAGAGCUCAAAUUUGAAAUCUGGCCUCCUGGAUGGGGGUUCGAGUUGUAAUUUGGAGAGGAUGCUUCGGGCCCGGUUCCCAUCUAAGUGCUCAGGAACGGGCCAUCAGAGAGGGUGAGAAUCCCGUCUGGGAUGGGUAAUAGGGACCGUGUGAAGCUCCUUCGACGAGUCGAGUUGUUUGGGAAUGCAGCUCUAAGUGGGUGGUAAAUUUCAUCUAAAGCUAAAUAUUGGCCGGAGACCGAUAGCGCACAAGUAGAGUGAUCGAAAGAUGAAAAACACUUUGAAAAGAGAGUUAAAGAGCAUGUGAAAUUGUUGAAAGGGAAGCGCUUGCGACCAGACUCAUGCGGGGGGGUUCAGCCGGCACUUGUGGCGGUGCAUUCCCCCUGGCGUGGGCCAGCGUCGGUUUGGAGGGUUGCUGAAAGGCCCCCGGAAUGUAGCGUCCUUCGGGGCGUCUUAUAGCCGGGGGUGGCAUGCGGCCAGCCAGACCGAGGAACGCGCUCCGGCUCGGACGCUGGCGUAAUGGUUGCAAGCGGCCCGUCUUGAAACACGGACCAAGGAGUCUAGCAUCUACGCGAGUGUUCGGGUGUUAAACCCGUGCGCGCAGUGAAAGCGAAUGGAGGUGGGAGCCCCCUGGGUGCACCAUCGACCGAUCCUGAUGUUCUCGGAUGGAUUUGAGUAAGAGCGUAGCUGUUGGGACCCGAAAGAUGGUGAACUAUGCCUGAAUAGGGCGAAGCCAGAGGAAACUCUGGUGGAGGCUCGCAGCGGUUCUGACGUGCAAAUCGAUCGUCAAAUUGGGUAUAGGGGCGAAAGACUAAUCGAACC
Molecule: ribosomal RNA, 852 nt
Filed under: Elaphomyces favosus
Lineage: Eukaryota; Fungi; Ascomycota; Eurotiomycetes; Eurotiales; Elaphomycetaceae
Description: eukaryotic LSU rRNA
Rfam family: Eukaryotic large subunit ribosomal RNA
Source: RNAcentral